RNAcentral lists this small nucleolar RNA (93 nucleotides) under Hordeum vulgare subsp. vulgare (domesticated barley). RNAcentral describes it as "Small nucleolar RNA R44/J54/Z268 family". It matches the Rfam family "Small nucleolar RNA R44/J54/Z268 family". Rfam says of the family: R44, J54 and Z268 are members of the C/D class of snoRNA which contain the C (UGAUGA) and D (CUGA) box motifs. The record is from Rfam by way of RNAcentral. Lineage: Eukaryota; Viridiplantae; Streptophyta; Magnoliopsida; Poales; Poaceae.
AAAACAAAUGACGAUAGCAAGACAGGGACAUCAGAACCCUGAAUUUCAGGGUUAUGACAAACUACGUCUAAAUGGGAAUCUCUCUGAUGUUUU